UACAGGGGGUGCAAACGUUGCUCGGAAUUAUUGGGCGUAAAGCGCGCGUAGGCGGCUACCUAAGUCGGAUGUGAAAGCCCCUGGCUUAACUGGGGAAGUGCACCCGAAACUGGGUAGCUAGAGUGCAAAAGAGGGUCGCGGAAUUCCCAGUGUAGAGGUGAAAUUCGUAGAUAUCGGGAGGAACACCGGUGGCGAAGGCGGCGACCUGGGUCGACACUGACGCUGAGGCGCGAAAGCGUGGGGAGCAAACAGG
This 253-nucleotide ribosomal RNA is filed under the name uncultured bacterium. Its description in RNAcentral is "partial 16S ribosomal RNA". It matches the Rfam family "Bacterial small subunit ribosomal RNA", at positions 524 to 776 of the family's 1533-position model. The record is from RNAcentral.